GAAAUGCGAUACGCAAUGCGAAUUGCAGAAUUCCGCGAAUCAUCAGAUUCUUGAACGCAACUGGCGCUGGAGGGAUAUCCUUCCAGCAUGUCUGUUUCAGUGUCUGAAAACUUCCUAAUUCAUUCUAAUGUGUUUGACAAGGAGUGAUUCAUUUUUAUAAUGAAUUACAAAAAAUAUUAUCCAAGUCUUACAUGAAAGAUGUAUGUGUGGGUCUUUGGAUCCAUCGAAUUGGUCAUCGAUUCCUUCGGUGAUUUCGAUUGGAUGUCACCAAUUACUCGUAUACACAUAGAAGAAAUACAUUAUAUUAUAUAUGUAUACAUAUACUUUAUCAUCUGCAUCUGAAAUCAGGCAAGAAAACCCGCUGAACUUAA
This 371-nucleotide unclassified non-coding RNA is filed under the name uncultured fungus. Its description in RNAcentral is "sequence contains ITS1". The stretch from base 1 to 105 matches the Rfam family "5.8S ribosomal RNA", at positions 50 to 154 of the family's 154-position model. Lineage: Eukaryota; Fungi. The record is from RNAcentral.